RNAcentral lists this ribosomal RNA (399 nucleotides) under uncultured bacterium. Its description in RNAcentral is "bacterial SSU rRNA". It matches the Rfam family "Bacterial small subunit ribosomal RNA", at positions 29 to 417 of the family's 1533-position model. The record is from RNAcentral.
AACGAACGCUGGCGGCGCGCCUAAUACAUGCAAGUCGAGCGAGAAGACGUAGCAAUACGUUUGUAAAGCGGCGAACGGGUGAGGAAUACAUGGGUAACCUACCCUCGAGUGGGGAAGUAACUAGCCGAAGGUUAGCUAAUACCGCGUACGCUCCUUGGACUUCGGUUCAGGGAGGAAAGACGAUACCGUGGGUACCGCGCUCUUGGAUGGGCUCAUGUCCUAUCAGCUUGUUGGUGAGGUAACGGCUCACCAAGGCUUCGACGGGUAGCUGGUCUGAGAGGACGAUCAGCCACACUGGCACUGAGACACGGCCCAGACUCCUACGGGAGGCAGCAGUGGGGAAUCUUGCGCAAUGGGCGAAAGCCUGACGCAGCGACGCCGCGUGAGGGAUGACGGCCU